CGGCGAGUGGCGAACGGGUGAGUAACACAUCGGAACGUACCGGCUAGUGGGGGAUAACCCGUCGAAAGACGGGCUAAUACCGCAUACGCUCUUCGGAGGAAAGCAGGGGACCUUUGGGCCUUGCGCUAGCCGAGCGGCCGAUGUCCGAUUAGCUAGUUGGUGGGGUAAAGGCCUACCAAGGCGACGAUCGGUAGCGGGUCUGAGAGGACGAUCCGCCACACUGGGACUGAGACACGGCCCAGACUCCUACGGGAGGCAGCAGUGGGGAAUCUUGGACAAUGGGGGCAACCCUGAUCCAGCAAUGCCGCGUGGGUGAAGAAGGCCUUCGGGUUGUAAAGCCCUUUCGGCAGGGAAGAAAUCGGCGGGGCGAAUAACCCUGCUGGAUGACGGUACCUGCAGAAGAAGCACCGGCUAACUACGUGCCAGCAGCCGCGGUAAUACGUAGGGUGCGAGCGUUAAUCGGAUUUACUGGGCGUAAAGCGUGCGCAGGCGGCCCGUUAAGACAGGUGUGAAAUCCCUGGGCUCAACCUAGGAAUUGCGCUUGUGACUGGCGGGCUCGA
This 560-nucleotide ribosomal RNA is filed under the name uncultured Hydrogenophilus sp. Its description in RNAcentral is "bacterial SSU rRNA". It matches the Rfam family "Bacterial small subunit ribosomal RNA", at positions 89 to 645 of the family's 1533-position model. The record is from RNAcentral. Lineage: Bacteria; Pseudomonadati; Pseudomonadota; Hydrogenophilia; Hydrogenophilales; Hydrogenophilaceae.